GCGCGAUUAGCUCAGCGGGAGAGCGCUUCCCUGACACGGAAGAGGUCACUGGUUCGAUCCCAGUAUCGCGCACCA
Molecule: transfer RNA, 75 nt
Filed under: Corynebacterium sp.
Lineage: Bacteria; Bacillati; Actinomycetota; Actinomycetes; Mycobacteriales; Corynebacteriaceae
Also listed under: 32 other names
Description: tRNA-Val
Rfam family: tRNA
About the family: Transfer RNA (tRNA) molecules are approximately 80 nucleotides in length. Their secondary structure includes four short double-helical elements and three loops (D, anti-codon, and T loops).
Source: RNAcentral